This 257-nucleotide ribosomal RNA is filed under the name uncultured bacterium. RNAcentral describes it as "partial 16S ribosomal RNA". It matches the Rfam family "Bacterial small subunit ribosomal RNA", at positions 524 to 776 of the family's 1533-position model. The record is from RNAcentral.
GACGUAGGGCGCGAGCGUUUGUCCGGAUUUAUUGGGCGUAAAGAGUGCGUAGGCGGUUUUUCUAAGUUUUGGUGUGAAAUCUCCCGGCUUAACUGGGGAGGGUGCGCCGAAAACUGGAAGGCUUGAGUAUGGGAGAGGUAAGCGGAAUUCCUGGUGUAGCGGUGAAAUGCGCAGAUAUCAGGAAGAACACCAAUGGCGAAAGCAGCUUUCUGGGACGGUACUGACGCUGAGACGCGAAAGCGUGGGGAGCGAACAGG